Molecule: ribosomal RNA, 497 nt
Filed under: uncultured bacterium
Lineage: Bacteria
Description: partial 16S ribosomal RNA
Rfam family: Bacterial small subunit ribosomal RNA
Source: RNAcentral
GAUGAACGCUGGCGGCGUGCCUAAUACAUGCAAGUCGAGCGAACAGACGAGGAGCUUGCUCCUCUGACGUUAGCGGCGGACGGGUGAGUAACACGUGGAUAACCUACCUAUAAGACUGGGAUAACUUCGGGAAACCGGAGCUAAUACCGGAUAAUAUAUUGAACCGCAUGGUUCAAUAGUGAAAGACGGUUUUGCUGUCACUUAUAGAUGGAUCCGCGCCGCAUUAGCGAGUUGGUAAGGUAACGGCUUACCAAGGCAACGAUGCGUAGCCGACCUGAGAGGGUGAUCGGCCACACUGGAACUGAGACACGGUCCAGACUCCUACGGGAGGCAGCAGUAGGGAAUCUGCCGCAAUGGGCGAAAGCCUGACGGAGCAACGCCGCGUGAGUGAUGAAGGUCUUCGGAUCGUAAAACUCUGUUAUUAGGGAAGAACAAAUGUGUAAGUAACUAUGCACGUCUUGACGGUAACUAAUCAGAAAGCCACGGCUAACUACGUG